UUCUGUGACGGGCUCUGUGCUUUUGUUUCUUUGAUAAUUGAAAUAAAGAUCGUUUCUUUAAAACUUUGAUCUUUAACUGGUUGGGUCGUUUGAUAAUUUUGUAUAAACAGGAGUUUACUUUUUUAGUGAAGACUUUUGACCUUAAAAAAAACAGCAGUAGCAAUUAGCUAGUAGGAAAAGAGAGUUGACCCAAUUUUUGAUCUUCUGUUGGGCUCUGCAGAAGAACGUUUGAGCGUUACACGGUGCGGAUUCUUCAUCCCCAGAAAAAGGACUUUCCGGUCUCAAAGGAAAUGGAGGUAUACGGCAAAGCCAUGGCUGCUGCCCCUGCAAAUGUUAUUUAUUUGUCUACUAUUCUGGGCCGUGAUGGUCCUUUUCUUGUUCACAAAUGCGAUUGGAAAUGUCAAAACGAGCAUGUUUGUGGCAACAUGUAUCGCUGCAAACUAACAGGGAUCACACACAUCUGUGACAAGAACUGUAACCAGAGAAUUUUGUAUGAUAACCAUAGUUCCCUUUGCCGAGCAAGCGGCCAGGUCUUUCCCCUCACUCAAGCUGAGGAACAGGCGGUCAGAGGCGUCAGGAGGAAACUCGAUGCCGAUAAUUCCCCAUCCCCCGAUGGCUGUGGUUUUAAGCGCAGGCGUGAUGCACAGUUCCAUCCUUCUCCUUUCGAGAGAUCUUUCUCUGCUGCAAAAUUUUUUCAUUGCUUCUGUUGGAUGGAGAAACCAAUGGAAAGGUGCCAUGUUAUGCUUGUGUCCUGCUAGGGAUCUCCUGUAGAAUGCAAGGGCGUUCAACCUUACUCAAGUCGAACAUAUUGUUGCCAUCUUCAGACAGCAACCAGCUUUGAUGGGGAUAACAAACUGAUGUGGGGUGUCUUUCUGCACGUCUGGUUGUGAACAUGAGUUUAUGAUGUCAUCUUUCUGAAUAGAUAAUUUUGAGGUCUGAACAUUGUUUACCAACUG
This is an RNA transcript of Hibiscus syriacus, 956 nucleotides long. RefSeq lists it as uncharacterized. The transcript has 3 exons. The record is from RefSeq and is a predicted model, not a curated record. NCBI's taxonomy places the organism in Eukaryota, Viridiplantae, Streptophyta, Magnoliopsida, Malvales, Malvaceae.